RNAcentral lists this long non-coding RNA (311 nucleotides) under Homo sapiens (human). Its description in RNAcentral is "lncAB426.1". The record is from RNAcentral. Lineage: Eukaryota; Metazoa; Chordata; Mammalia; Primates; Hominidae.
AGCAACAGGGUCCAGUUCACACUUAGCACUAAUUAAAUACUUUAUUGAAUAAAUACAAUACCAAACAAAAUGCAUUCAAAUGCUUUCUAAAAAAAUUUUAAAGGCCUUUCUACUCAGGCUAAUGACAAACACAAUAAAGGCAGAUAUGCUAGUUUAACAUAAUUGGCUGAUUUUAUACAGCACUUAUAUCUUUUAGUCCACAAGUAUAUUAUUAAAUGAUAGAGAACAUCUAAUACAACCAUUUCUACAGAACUAGGAAAUAAAUUUCUAAGAAAGAAAGAUUUUACAGACCCCAUCUUUUAUACCCACCC